Molecule: ribosomal RNA, 253 nt
Filed under: uncultured bacterium
Lineage: Bacteria
Description: partial 16S ribosomal RNA
Rfam family: Bacterial small subunit ribosomal RNA
Source: RNAcentral
UACGGAGGGUGCAAGCAUUAAUCGGAUUUAUUGGGCGUAAAGGGCGCGUAGGCGGAUCGGAAAGUCAGAUGUGAAAUCCUGGGGCUCAACCCCAGAACAGCAUUUGAAACUCCCGAUCUAGAGGGUAGGCGGAGAAAAUGGAAUUCCACAAGUAGCGGUGAAAUGCGUAGAUAUGUGGAAGAACACCGGUGGCGAAGGCGGUUUUCUAGCUUACUCCUGACGCUGAGGCGCGAAAGUAAGGGGAUCAAACAGG